RNAcentral lists this ribosomal RNA (566 nucleotides) under Perlomyia utahensis. RNAcentral's name for it is "partial 16S ribosomal RNA". It matches the Rfam family "Bacterial large subunit ribosomal RNA", at positions 1796 to 2622 of the family's 2925-position model. Lineage: Eukaryota; Metazoa; Arthropoda; Insecta; Plecoptera; Leuctridae. The record is from RNAcentral.
UCGCCUGUUUAUCAAAAACAUGUCUUCUUGAUUUUAUAAUUUGAAGUCUGACCUGCCCACUGAUGUUUAAUGCAUUAAAGGGCCGCGGUAUUUUGACCGUGCAAAGGUAGCAUAAUCAUUAGUCUUUUUAUUGAAGGCUUGUAUGAAUGGUUGGACGAGGUAUUGACUGUCUCUGUGUUAUUGAGAUUUAGAAUUUAACUUUUAAGUUAAAAGGCUUAAUUGUUUUUAAAGGACGAGAAGACCCUAUAGAGCUUUACAAUCUUUUUUUUGUUAUUUAUUUGGGGGUAUCUUUAUAGUAAAAGUGUGAUUGUUUUGUUGGGGUGACAGGAAGAUGUAAUAAACUCUUUUUAGAUUAAAACCAUAAAUUAAUGAAUUGUUGAUCCAUUAGUAGUGAUUAUAAGACUAAGUUACCUUAGGGAUAACAGCGUAAUCUUUUUCGAGAGUUCUUAUCGACAAAAAGGAUUGCGACCUCGAUGUUGGAUUAAGAGUAAUUUUGGGUGUAGAUGUUCAAAGUUUAGGUCUGUUCGACCUUUAAAUUCUUACAUGAUCUGAGUUCAAACCGGAGA